AAGUCGUAACAAGGUUUCCGUAGGUGAACCUGCGGAAGGAUCAUUAUUGAAUAAAUCUGACGUGGUUGUCGCUGGCUCCCCCGGGAGCAUGUGCACGCCCGUCACCUUUAUUUCUCCACCUGUGCACACACUGUAGGCCUGGAUACCUCUCGUCGCAAGGCGGAUGCGUGGCUUGCUGUCGCUUUCGAAAGAAGGCCGGCUUGCCAUGAAUUUCCAGGUCUAUGAUUUCUUACACACCCCAAACUGAAUGUUAUGGAAUGUCAUCUCAAGGCCUUGUGCCUAUAAACCUAUACAACUUUCAGCAACGGAUCUCUUGGCUCUC
Molecule: unclassified non-coding RNA, 322 nt
Filed under: Coprinopsis calospora
Lineage: Eukaryota; Fungi; Basidiomycota; Agaricomycetes; Agaricales; Psathyrellaceae
Also listed under: 1 other name
Description: partial internal transcribed spacer region
Rfam family: Eukaryotic small subunit ribosomal RNA (bases 1-46)
Source: RNAcentral